Molecule: ribosomal RNA, 253 nt
Filed under: uncultured bacterium
Lineage: Bacteria
Description: partial 16S ribosomal RNA
Rfam family: Bacterial small subunit ribosomal RNA
Source: RNAcentral
UACGUAGGUGGCAAGCGUUGUCCGGAUUUACUGGGCGUAAAGAGCGCGCAGGCGGCUGAUUAAGUCGAAUGUGAAAGCCCCCGGCUCAACUGGGGAGGGUCACGCGAUACUGAUCGACUCGAAGGCAGGAGAGGGAAGUGGAAUUCCCGGUGUAGUGGUGAAAUGCGUAGAUAUCUGGAGGAACACCGGUGGCGAAGGCGGCAUCCUGGACCAAUAUUGACGCUGAGGAGCGAAAGCUAGGGGAGCAAACGGG